This 484-nucleotide ribosomal RNA is filed under the name uncultured bacterium. RNAcentral's name for it is "partial 16S ribosomal RNA". It matches the Rfam family "Bacterial small subunit ribosomal RNA", at positions 28 to 507 of the family's 1533-position model. The record is from RNAcentral.
AUUGAACGCUGGCGGCAUGCUUUACACAUGCAAGUCGAACGGCAGCGCGGGCUUCGGCCUGGCGGCGAGUGGCGAACGGGUGAGUAAUGCAUCGGAACGUGCCCAGUCGUGGGGGAUAGCCCGGCGAAAGCCGGAUUAAUACCGCAUACGACCUGAGGGUGAAAGCGGGGGACCGAAAGGCCUCGCGCUAUUGGAGCGGCCGAUGUCGGAUUAGCUAGUUGGUGGGGUAAAGGCUUACCAAGGCGACGAUCCGUAACUGGUCUGAGAGGACGACCAGCCACACUGGGACUGAGACACGGCCCAGACUCCUACGGGAGGCAGCAGUGGGGAAUUUUGGACAAUGGGGGCAACCCUGAUCCAGCCAUGCCGCGUGCGGGAAGAAGGCCUUCGGGUUGUAAACCGCUUUUGUUCGGGAAGAAAUCCUCUGGGCUAAUACCCCGGGGGGAUGACGGUACCGGAAGAAUAAGCACCGGCUAACUACGUG